This 1171-nucleotide unclassified non-coding RNA is filed under the name Hevea brasiliensis (rubber tree). Lineage: Eukaryota; Viridiplantae; Streptophyta; Magnoliopsida; Malpighiales; Euphorbiaceae. The record is from RNAcentral.
GACAACUUGAAAGCCACUGAAACAUUUCACAAUAUCAGACAAAAAACAGGCCUGUGCUGCUGUAACAGCAAAGAUGGGUAAAACUAAAUAACAUGAUCAAAACAAAUUGUUCUUUUGGUCAACAAUAAGAAAUUAUCUGCUCUUUUAUAGAGCAAGAAAAUCUGCUCCACAUCAAGUAUCAUAUGAAACUCAACUAUCCUUUAGAGAUAAUACCUUCUGCAUCCAUUGACGCCAAUGAAAAUAAAGUACAAUGCAUUAUGUCAAUCAAAAUUCUCUAGUGCAAGAGAGUAGGGACUGAACAGAGUUAGAAUAACUUCUUAGGUUGACAUUUCUUGGGAAAAUUUUAAAGCUACAAAAGUGAAUGUUUCCAGCAGAAUUUAAACAUGACCCCUAAUUUAAAGGCAACCUCUAAUUCCAAAAUGCAUUUACCAGGACAAUUAUACAUAGUAAGGGAAUUUACCAAUUUCAAUUAGUGUCAAUGCAAGAUGAGAAUGUUGUUCUGAUUUACAUGUUGCUGGUUUGCCAAUGAUCAACUGUUUAAAGUAAUUAAAAAAAAUGGUACUUCUGUUUUCUGUAAUAGAAAGAGCAUCAACAUAUUAAUGUUAUACUUCAUCAUUAGUUGAGCCCUGGAAUAAUCAAAGAAAGGUCUAGAGUAACUUUCAUGUUACUGUAAGUUAUUCAUGUAAUAACUUCCUAAUGCAUACUGUGAAUUGAGUAACAAAAUGAUUUUCCUUUUUUACACAUUUGAUAAUAUCAAAAUUAAUUUCCAAAUCUUUAUCAUACUAAAGAUAUCAAGUAUAACACUGGUACAAACAUCAAAAUUGUAAUUUGUACAUUUCAUGGUUGGGGAACUCAUUAUCAUGACAUGAUUAAUACACUCCGUAGAUUUUUAAUAAGGAAUGGCUUUAGUAGACUAUGAUCUUUGAAGUAACUUAUAUAAUCUUCAAUUAUCAUAUUAUAAGUUAAUGAAACGGCAAAAUGUUAAUCAAAUCAAUUUUAACAGAUGCAAGUCAAGCUCUAGAUCCAGAAAUAAGUUCUCAAUAAACUCAAAUUCGUGUGAAAUGAAACCAAUCGGUGAAUAAAUGUAACACUACAACCAAUAUCACUGUAAAAAUGAAAAUAAUCCUAGAGUGCAACUGAUGAGUACCAUUUGGAAUAUCCUUGAGCUGUG